This 187-nucleotide ribosomal RNA is filed under the name uncultured bacterium. RNAcentral's name for it is "partial 16S rRNA". It matches the Rfam family "Bacterial small subunit ribosomal RNA", at positions 357 to 524 of the family's 1533-position model. The record is from RNAcentral.
GGGGCAUUUGGACAUGGGCGCAAGCCUGAUCCAGCCAUGCCGCGUGUGUGAUGAAGGCCUUCGGGUUGUAAAGCUCUUUUGUCAGGAGACGAUAAUCCACGGUGAUCUAAUUACCAAUAUGGCCGCGUGACGGCUACCUGGCCGAAUAACGCACCGGUAUAACUUCGUGCCAGCAGCCGCGAGUAAU